GAGUUUGAUCUUGGCUCAGGACGAACGCUGGCGGCGUGCUUAACACAUGCAAGUCACGGGGGCCCGCAAGGGCAACCGGCGAACGGGUGCGUAACACGUGAGCAAUCUGCCGAUUUCUGGGGGAUAGCCGGCCCAACGGCCGGGUAAUACCGCAUACGCUCAUUUGGGGGAGUCCCCGAGUGAGGAAACCUCCGGGGGAAAUCGAGGAGCUCGCGGCCUAUCAGCUAGUUGGCGGGGUAACGGCCCACCAAGGCUCUGACGGGGUAGCUGGUCUGAGAGGAUGGCCAGCCACAUUGGGACUGAGAGACGGCCCAGACUCCUACGGGAGGCAGCAGUGGGGAAUCUUGCGCAAUGGCCGAAAGGCUGACGCAGCGACGCCGCGUGUGGGGAGGAAGCCCUUC
Molecule: ribosomal RNA, 401 nt
Filed under: uncultured Gemmatimonadota bacterium
Lineage: Bacteria; Pseudomonadati; Gemmatimonadota
Description: bacterial SSU rRNA
Rfam family: Bacterial small subunit ribosomal RNA
Source: RNAcentral